This 671-nucleotide ribosomal RNA is filed under the name uncultured ciliate. RNAcentral's name for it is "SSU rRNA". It matches the Rfam family "Eukaryotic small subunit ribosomal RNA", at positions 326 to 1012 of the family's 1831-position model. Lineage: Eukaryota; Ciliophora. The record is from RNAcentral.
UGGUAGUGUAUUGGACAACCAUGGCUUUCACGGGUAACGGAGGAUUAGGGUUCGAUUCCGGAGAGGGAGCCUGAGAAACGGCUACCACAUCUACGGAAGGCAGCAGGCGCGUAAAUUACCCAAUCCUGACUCAGGGAGGUAGUGACAAGAAAUAACGGACCGAGGCUUUAUGUUUCGGGAUUGCAAUGGGUACAAUUUAAACCCCUUAACGAGGAUCAAUUGGAGGGCAAGUCUGGUGCCAGCAGCCGCGGUAAUUCCAGCUCCAAUAGCGUAUAUUAAAGUUGUUGCAGUUAAAAAGCUCGUAGUUGGACCUCUGGGAGGGUGCCAAUGUCCGCUGUUGCGAGUGCAGCGGCGCCCUUCCAUCCUUCUGUUAACGUUUCUUGGUAUUCAGUUACUGGUUUCGGGCUCAGAUAUUUUACCUUGAGAAAAUUAGAGUGUUUCAGGCAGGCUUGCGCCGGAAUACAUUAGCAUAGAAUAAUAGAAUAGGACUUUAGUCUCUUUUGUUGGUUCAGGGACUGAAGUAAUGAUUAAUAGGGAUAGUUGGGGGCAUUAGUAUUUAAUUGUCAGAGGUAAAAUUCUCAGAUUUGUUAAAGACUAACUUAUGCGAAAGCAUUUGCCAAGGAUGUUUUCAUUAAUUAAGAACGAAAGUUAGGGGAUCAAAGACGAUCAGA